Molecule: long non-coding RNA, 1309 nt
Organism: Lynx canadensis (Canada lynx)
Lineage: Eukaryota; Metazoa; Chordata; Mammalia; Carnivora; Felidae
Exons: 2
Source: RefSeq, a predicted model, not a curated record
CCGACUGCGCCACCCAGGCGCCCCUUUGUGUGUGGGUGUGUUCUGAAGGGCUUGUAUACAAGUUCGUAACUGCAAAUGCCAAACCUUGUUUGUCUUUCUGCAAAACCAGCGAGCAAUCCACACACCUGAUGGGUGCGCGAGCCUCCCCGUGUUUUCCUCCUAACAUCACAGCUAAGCAGAAAUGCUCAAGCCAGAGAAAGCUUCACCUGCCAAACCUCGACAGGGGCCGGAAAGCAAGCCUUUCCUCUUGAAUACAGGUUUCACUCAAGGUUGGGUAACCGAAAUAGAGACACACAGCACUGCUCCCGACUUGCAAAUCUAACCACCAGACCACGUUGCAAAUACUGAGUUGCCAGAUAAAACGCAGGAUGCCCAGUCAACUUGGGACGUCCUAUUAUCUUCAGUACAAAGAAGGUAGGGAAGCUGAACAACGGGCUCCAUCUGUUUCUCUGCGAGGCCCCACUCACUCAUGCGCCAUGUUUCACCUGGUAUCCGAGUAAACCGAGAAAGCUAUGUUCCCACCCCAAGGGGGGAGGGGGGAGAACUUCAUCGUUCUCUGUGUUUCGUCCUAGGCCCCCGACACCUGAUAACGUAAGAGACCGCCCCCAAGCCUGUUUCCAGCUCUGUGUCUGUCAAACUCGGCUGACACUGGCAUCAAUACCCCGCCCCCCCCCCCCCGGCUUCAGUGAUUUAUAACACCUGCUGUUCACCUGCCACUUGCUUUCAAUUGGACCCCACCCUGGAUUCCUGAAAGAACAUUUACCCUGGACCCCUUUCCAGUAUAAACCCCCAACCCCAAGUGGUGGGGGGACUCCCUUCCAUCUGAGUCUCCCAGACGCUCUGCCCACUAUACUCACACCACUUGGCGUUAUUCGGUAGAUUCUGCCCUCACUGCCUCCUGGCUGGCAUCUGAUUUCCAUCCCGCAUGCAGCCACGGACCCUCUUGGCUGGUUCUGUGGGGUCCCCUCUGGGUCCUGGGACCUGGCCCACCUACAUCACGAGUACAUCCCAAACAUUGCAUGGGACGUAGUUCUAGUAAGAAAGUAUUUACUGUUGAUCUGAAGUUCAAAUUUAACUGAGCAUCCUGUACUUUUAUUUACUAAAUCUGGCAACCCCGUUGCACAUAAGCAACAUUCCGUAAACAUUUCUAAAAGAAAGAUUCCUUAAAUACAGCAAUACAACUUUUUCCUCCUACAGAAGUAUGCAUAGAACUUUGGACUAUCAAUAUACUGUGUCGACGCUAUGCGUCUUUGUACACUUUCCUUGACGUGUUACAAUGAGAAACAGAAACAGGAAGCAAGACCACAGA